GUUUAACGGCCGCGGUAUCCUGACCGUGCAAAGGUAGCGUAAUCACUUGUCUUUUAAAUGGAGACCUGUAUGAAUGGCAAGACGAGGGCUAAACUGUCUCCUUUUUCCAGUCAAUGAAAUUGAUCUCCCCGUGCAGAAGCGGGGAUACCAACAUAAGACGAGAAGACCCCAUGGAGCUUUAGACACAAAGCAGCCCACACCAUAGUAUCCCCCUCAAGGGAAACAAUAUUUGUGCCCCCUGCUCUUAUGUCUUUGGUUGGGGCGACCGCGGGGAAACAAGAAACCCCCAUGUGGAACAGGAGUACUCCUCCUUAAAGCAAGAGCCACAGCUCUAGCAAGCAGUAAAACUGACCUUCAAGAUCCGGCAUACGCCGAUCAACGGACCAAGUUACCCUGGGGAUAACAGCGCAAUCCUCUUUUAGAGCCCAUAUCGACAAGAGGGUUUACGACCUCGAUUGUUGGAUCAGGACAUCCUAAUGGUGCAGCCGCUAUUAAGGGUUCG
RNAcentral lists this ribosomal RNA (502 nucleotides) under Acanthogobius flavimanus (yellowfin goby). Its description in RNAcentral is "partial 16S ribosomal RNA". It matches the Rfam family "Bacterial large subunit ribosomal RNA", at positions 1922 to 2575 of the family's 2925-position model. Lineage: Eukaryota; Metazoa; Chordata; Actinopteri; Gobiiformes; Gobiidae. The record is from RNAcentral.